Non-coding RNA from Coturnix japonica (Japanese quail), 5014 nucleotides. The record is from RefSeq and is a predicted model, not a curated record. Lineage: Eukaryota; Metazoa; Chordata; Aves; Galliformes; Phasianidae.
CUUCCUGCGCAAAGCCGGAAGACUCGCAUGGGCUUCCGACGGAAGUUACGCGCUGCGGGUUGGCGGAAGGACGCGUGAUAUAGGAGCGGGGAUUCUGAACGGUGGAGCGGGAGGGAUAGGACAACAGCGAUGCCCCGGAUCACGCUGAGGGGUGUCACGGUGGAUUUCCCAUUCCAGCCCUAUGAGUGUCAGGAGAUCUACAUGGCCAAAGUGCUCGAGUGUCUGCAGACGAAAGUAAAUGGCAUCCUAGAGAGCCCUACAGGUACAGGAAAGACCCUUUGCCUGCUCUGUUCCACUCUGGCCUGGAGAGAACACUUCAAAGAUACCAUCUCAGCCCGCAAAAUUGCACAGCGUAUGAAUGGGGUCGAGCUCUUCCCUGACAGACCCAUGUCCUCCUGGGGUAAUGCUGCCACGGAUGGCGAUAUCCCAACGUACUACACAGACAUUCCUAAAAUCAUUUAUGCAUCCAGAACUCACUCUCAGCUUACGCAGGUCAUUAAUGAAUUAAAGAACACGGUCUACAGGCCGAAGAUAUCUGUUUUGGGUUCCAGAGAGCAGCUUUGCAUCAAUCCUGAAGUGAAACGACAGGAGAGCAACCACAUGCAAAUCUAUAUGUGCCGAAAGAAAGUGAUGGCUCGUGCUUGUCAUUUUUAUAACAAUGUGGAAGAAAAGUCUACAGAGAAAGGGCUGAUGGACUCAAUCAUGGAUAUCGAAGACUUGGUUAAAAAUGGAAGCAAGCACAGAGCUUGUCCUUAUUAUCUCUCUCGAAGCCUGAAGCAGCAGGCAGAUAUUAUUUUUAUGCCUUACAACUAUUUAUUGGACGCAAAGAGCCGACGAGCUCACAACAUAGAUCUGAAGGGGACUGUGAUAAUACUUGAUGAAGCUCACAAUGUGGAAAGAUUGUGUGAAGAGUCAUCUUCUUUUGACCUGACGGCCUAUGAUUUGGCUUCAGCAAUUGAUGUUAUAAACUUAGUACUGGAAGAACAAGCCAAAGUAGUUCAACAGAAUGAAGUAAAUGCUGAAUUCAACAUGGAGAGCAUCAGUUCAGGGCUGAACAUGGAACUUGAAGAUAUAGCAAAGAUAAAGAAAAUUCUUCUUCAGCUAGAAAGUGCAAUUGAUGCAGUGGAGCUGCCACCAAAUGACAGUGGAGUCACCAAAGAUGGAAGCUACAUCUUCGAGCUGUUUGCAAAGGCCCAAAUAACGUUCCAAACCAAGACCUCACUCCUGGAGUCACUAGAACAGAUUUUACAGUUUCUUUCAGGCCGCACUGGGAUAUUUAUCAAUACCUCUGGACUGCAUAAACUCUCAGAUAUUAUCCAGACGGUGUUUAAUGUUGAUCCUCCAGAAGGCACAACCAGUUUUGUGCCACCUCAGUCGAUAUCCAGAUAUUAUAAGGUACACAUUCAUCUGGAUAACAGUAAUCAGAAAAAGAAGAAGGAAAGGACAGAUCUCUGGGAUUCGUCAGCUGCAAAAAAACAAGGAAAGACCUUAAGCUAUUGGUGUUUCAGCCCUGGAUAUAGCAUGCAUGAGCUUGUUCGACAGGGAGUCAGAACAAUUAUCCUUACUAGUGGGACUCUCUCCCCUCUCUCAUCGUUUACAAUGGAAAUGCAGAUCCCUUUUCCUGUUCUCUUGGAGAACCCUCAUGUUAUUGAUAAACGGCAGCUCUGGGUUGGAAUCAUUCCCAAAGGACCUGAUGGAGCUGUGCUCAAUUCUACUUAUGAGAGAAGAUUUUCAGAGGACUAUUUAUCUUCCCUGGGGAAAACCAUUGGUAAUCUUGUGCGAGUCGUACCUCAUGGACUGUUGGUAUUUUUCCCAUCAUAUCCUGUCAUGGAUAAGAGCCUGGAGUAUUGGAGAGAGCAUGAUUUUGCUAAAAGAAUAGAAGAAGUGAAACCAAUGUUUGUGGAACCCAGGAAUAAAGGAAGCUUUUCAGAGGUAAUAGAUGCGUACUAUGGUAAAAUUGCCUGUCCUAAGUCAAAUGGAGCUACUUUUUUGGCAGUGUGUCGGGGGAAGGCCAGCGAAGGCUUGGACUUUGCAGACAUGAAUGGACGAGGAGUCAUCAUUACUGGCCUUCCAUUUCCUCCUCGUUGGGAUCCCAGAGUUGUUUUAAAGAUGCAGUUCCUGAAUGAAAUGAAAAAAAGCAGUAUGGGUGCACAGUAUUUAUCUGGGCAUCAGUGGUACAAUCAGCAAGCUUCCCGAGCUGUUAACCAGGCUAUUGGCAGGGUCAUCAGGCAUCGCCAGGACUAUGGUGCUAUCUUCCUAUGUGAUGACAGGUUCACAACUGAUAAUGUAAGAAGCAAGCUGCCUUCCUGGGUCCGCCCUUAUGUGAACGUUUAUGACAACUUUGGGCAUGCAGUCAGAAGUGUCUCAGUCUUCUUCCGCGUUGCUCAAGAAAUUAUGCCCCCGCCUGUGGCACAGUGCAUUUCUGGCUCUGCUGUUACCCUGAGUGAAAAUGAUGUGAAACCUUCUACUUCAUCUGAGCAGAUCCUCUCCCUGCAGAAAGCCAAGAUUUUGGAUGAUCAUGUUCCCAGUUUGAAGAGGAAAAGGAUAGUAAUGCCAGUAAAUGGAGAUGGAGCAUCCAGCCUCUGCACAGAGUACGAACAAGAAAUGAUCUCACCUAGAAGACGAUGUUCUGGGCUUUUGGAUGCAUUGGAGCGCAAUGAGAAGAACAGCAAAGAGGCGGAGGAAGAUGAUGAUUUGUCAGGGGAGGAAAAGGCACAACGUCUGUCAACGCUUUCCCUUCAGUAUGAGAAGAGGUUAACAGAUGAGCAGAAAGGAGGAAGGAAGAAAAUCAAGCUAGUCAGCAAUCCGCUAACCAAUAAGAUAGCAGACCCAACUGAGCCAAAGAAAGCCCGGGCUACCUUAUACAUCGCAACAGUGAAGAAAACCCUAAGCCAACAAAACUAUAAUCUCUUCUCUGAGGCUCUUCAGCGCUACAGGACCACAGCUGACUUCAAUACCAUGUUAUCUCAAAUGAGUUCCCUUUUUACAGAGGAUGAAACAAAGCAUAUCUUGUUGCGAGAAUUUUACCAGUUUGUUCGACCUCACCAUAAAAAAGAGUUUGAUGAAGCAUGUUGCAAUCUGACCGGGGUGGGCUGUGGCUACAAACCUGAGCACAGCCUCCUGCUGGACGAGAGAGAGGGACUGGCAAAGAAAGCAGAAGCAAAAGAGAGUCAGCAGAAAACAACGUUCUCAGAGCACUCACGGGUUCAGCUGAAUCCUGGGCUCCACUUGAACCAGGGAGGGUUUCACUUGACAGCAAGACAGACAAGAGCAGGGGAUAACACCGGUCAAGCUACGAGCAAAGACAUUAAAAAUGUAUCAGGCUCAAGGAGAGAUCACCACCAGGUCCUCAGGACGACCUACCUCAAGGAUGUGAAAAAGGCAUUGAAGGAAAGCGCUUACAGCCGCUUCCAUGAAGCACUGUUGGCUUACAAGAGGACAGAUGACUACGAUGCUAUGAUACCAGUGAUAGCAGCCCUCACUACUGAGAGGCCGGAAGAUUUUCAUCUCCUGCAAAGGUUUAACAUGUUUGUGCGCCCUCAUCACAAAGAGCAGUUCAGGCAGCUGUGUAAAGAUCUGACUGGAACAGUUGGUGGUGAUGAACAGAAACAGCAGCAGGUGCAGAAUGAGAACAGCACUGUGACACUGGAGAGAUGGUUCACUAAGAGAGAAAACAGCCCUAAACAAGAUGGAGAUGCUCCUAAGAGUGAAGUUCCAGAAAAAAAUGAGGGAGAAACUUCCUCCUCGUACCUCAGCCAGAAGUGCAAGCUUGAAUUACCAAAGACUGAAGUAUCUGAAGGAAUUAGUAGUGUGAGAGCACCCACAGCUCCCGGAGUCAUUCCCAGCUUACCACUAGAGUUGGAUCCAGAGUUUGGAGAACCAUUGGAACAAAUUCUUCUGUUUACAGAGAGGAAACCCCAACCCUCAUGUUCAAGUUUACAACUUCAAUGUUUCCUUUGUCAUCUUUAUUUUCCACGUUCUGCAGUGUGACUGAAGACAGAACUCCUCUCAGCUUCCUUCAAAUGCUGCUUUGCAGUGUUUAAAUGCCUUGUUCAUUCAUGCUCUUAUGAAGAAGUGCCCGGAAUGCUGCUGUGAUGUGAAGAAGAAGCGCUUGGUUCGAGCUUAUUUCUGGUAAUGGUCUCACUGCCAGAAAGGACAAGUGCUUCGUGUCAGCAGAAAUAGGCUCCUGUGCUCUGACCCUGAGCUGGGUGGAAGCAGGAGGAGGGUUCCUUCUGAACAUCUUCCAUCAUUGACUCUGGUGCACAUGCUGUCACUUUUUUUCCUGCAAACAGAGUCUGAAGGGUCAGGUGUGCGCUGCUGGCAGAAGACAAAGCAUCGUCCUCUGCUGGGACAGAGGUGGUGAAUCUCUUACUUACUUUAGCCUGUGAGUUUUACAUUGACUUAGACCUGAUUGUGUGUCCUGGAGGAGGCUGUUGUUGCUUUGGCCCUUCAGGUAACAUCCACUCCUGGAGAAACCCUACAACAGUACUAUGUUGGAAUGGAGCUGGCUGUGUUAACAGGCCAGGCACAGCCCUACGAACCCCAUCAGUGUUCUUGGAAGGAACAGUUGGUGUUCUGCUGGUGUUUAUCAAUCAGCAGCUGCUGUCUAAAAUAGCAGAAGAUACUGAAAGCUGGGCUUCUCUUCAAACAAAAUCAAGUGUUUGGACAGUGAGCAGAGAUGCUGCCCAGUGCCUGCUGUGCACCCUGCAGCACAAUGUCUCCCACAGUGCUGGGAUGUUUGGAAACAUGCUUCUAAGGAGGCUUUAUGUUCAGCCUAGCACUGGCAUUCCUGUUGUGUCAGUGUUAUUUGAUGGUUGUCUUCCAAGAAGAAAAUGGACCAAAUUGAUUUCAGUCUUUAACAUAAAUGAAGUGGAAUGGGUAAAAAAAACCAAACCUCCUCAAUGCUUCCACUCUCUGUAAGUAGUGCGAAGAAGGGGUAAACUAAAAUCAGUUUUAAGUCAUCAGUCCCUUCUCUUAACUGAACCAGAAAUAAAAACAUUUUUUAUGCAUUGGU